This 450-nucleotide ribosomal RNA is filed under the name uncultured Glomus. Its description in RNAcentral is "SSU rRNA". It matches the Rfam family "Eukaryotic small subunit ribosomal RNA", at positions 569 to 1024 of the family's 1831-position model. The record is from RNAcentral. Lineage: Eukaryota; Fungi; Glomeromycota; Glomeromycetes; Glomerales; Glomeraceae.
AGCAGCCGCGGUAAUUCCAGCUCCAAUAGCGUAUAUUAAAGUUGUUGCAGUUAAAAAGCUCGUAGUUGAAUUUCGGGAUUAGUACGCUGGUCGUGCCUUCGGUAUGUACUGGUGUUACUGAUUCCUACCUUCUGACGAACCGUCAUGUCAUUCAUUUGGUGUGGCAGGGAAUCAGGACUGUUACUUUGAAAAAUUAGAGUGUUUAAAGCAGGCUCGCGCUUGAAUACAUUAGCAUGGAAUAAUGAAAUAGGACGUUCGAUCCUAUUUUGUUGGUUUCUAGGAUUGACGUAAUGAUUAAUAGGGAUAGUUGGGGGCAUUAGUAUUCAAUUGUCAGAGGUGAAAUUCUUGGAUUUAUUGAAGACUAACUACUGCGAAAGCAUUUGCCAAGGAUGUUUUCAUUAAUCAAGAACGAAAGUUAGGGGAUCGAAGACGAUCAGAUACCGUCGUAGU